UCUAAUUCUACUUAAUUCAUCUUUUGGAUAUAGGAAAACUAAGAGACCCCUUUCCAAGCCCGUGGAUCAAAACUUGUAGCCAUCUCAAUUCAGGGAACAUCAAGCAGUAAUGCUUUGGAAGAUGGAGUUGACGAAGGCUCUGCCUUCAAGCAUGUUAGUCCAAAUGGCACGACAAAAGCUAAAGUCAGACGCACUGGCACUGGCAAUCCAUUAGAUGCUGGAUCUGUGAAAAAUUUGGAGGAUUUGCAACAUGAGCAAAUGAACAAUGACUUGGUGGAUUCAGGGGAUGAAAUGGCUCAUGGUGCAUUGGUGACUUGGCUUAGUAGAAAAUCCUAUUCAAUCUGCGAUCUUCGAUUUUGAGGUGGAGGUUAGUGUGUGGUGUUGGUUUUUGAAAGUAGAUCAAGUUUGGUGGUAGUUAUGGAGUUUCAGUUUGCAUAAAUGAUGAAGACGGUGAAAUGAAGAGACGUUUUGCAGAGAUGGUUUAAUGAAGAUGCAUGCUUGAAGUUACGGUUUUCGAGACAGUUUUAUGUUGUAAUAAAAUGUUUGGACUUUUUGUAACCAAAAAAAAAAAAAAAAAAAA
Molecule: long non-coding RNA, 580 nt
Organism: Prunus persica (peach)
Lineage: Eukaryota; Viridiplantae; Streptophyta; Magnoliopsida; Rosales; Rosaceae
Exons: 2
Source: RefSeq, a predicted model, not a curated record